UGGUUUUCCUCUUCAUCAAUUUGGACUGCUACACAAAAAAUGCCAUAGACUAUGUGGCUUAUACACAACAGAAAUUUAUUGAUCGCAGUUCUGGAGCCUGGGAAGUCCAAGAUCAGGGCACUAGCAGAUUCCAUGUCUCGUGAAGGCCUGUGUCCUCAUAGACAGCUAUCUUCUCACUAUAACCUCACAUGGCAGAAGGGUGAAUGAGCUCCUUUGGCUGCUUUAUAAGAGCAGUAAUGGCCUAAUCACCCCCCAAAAACCGUACUCCUAAUACCAUCACCUUGGACGUUAGGAUUUUCACAUAUGCAUUUUGGCGUAAACAAACCUUUAGACCACGGCAGCUGGGUAGAUUAAUUUUAUUAAUCACAAAUCUGUUUUGACUUGAAAAUUUAAAGCAUUUUACUAUUUGUAAUUACUGAUCUGUCAUGAGCAUACUGUGUUACUUUCCUAAUACCUAGUUCUCCAUUCUUCAUAAGAAGUAAGCACAAUUCUUGCAGAUGUGUAGAUAUCUUCCCUCCAAUUACAUACAACUUAAACUGUCUUCUUUUUUUUUUUUUUUUUUUUUGAGAUGCAGUCUUGCUCUGUCACCCAGGCUGGAGUGCAGUGGUGCAAUCUCAGCUCACUCCAAGCUCAGUCUCCCUGGUUCAUGCCAUUCUUCUGCCUCAGCCUCCUGAGUAGCUGGGACUACAGGCACCUGCCACCACACCUGGCUAAUUUUUUUUUUUUUUUUUUUUUAAAGUAGAGACAGGGUUUCACCGUGUUAGCCAGGAUGGUUUCGAUCUCCUGACCUCGUGAUCCACCCGCCUCAGCCUCCCAAAGUGCUGGGAUUACAGGCGUGAGCCACAGCGCCCGGC
RNAcentral lists this long non-coding RNA (854 nucleotides) under Homo sapiens (human). Its description in RNAcentral is "HSALNT0357352". The record is from RNAcentral. Lineage: Eukaryota; Metazoa; Chordata; Mammalia; Primates; Hominidae.